Molecule: ribosomal RNA, 253 nt
Filed under: uncultured bacterium
Lineage: Bacteria
Description: partial 16S ribosomal RNA
Rfam family: Bacterial small subunit ribosomal RNA
Source: RNAcentral
UACGUAGGGACCAAGCGUUGUUCGGAUUUACUGGGCGUAAAGGGCGCGUAGGCGGGAUGGCAAGUCAGUCGUGAAAUCUCUCGGCUCAACCGAGAAACGUCGGCUGAUACUGCCGUUCUUGAGGGAUGCAGAGGAGACUGGAAUUCCCGGUGUAGCGGUGAAAUGUGUAGAGAUCGGGAGGAACACCGGUGGCGAAGGCGGGUCUCUGGGCAUCUCCUGACGCUGAGGCGCGAAAGCGUGGGGAUCAAACAGG